Molecule: long non-coding RNA, 379 nt
Organism: Mercenaria mercenaria
Lineage: Eukaryota; Metazoa; Mollusca; Bivalvia; Venerida; Veneridae
Exons: 3
Source: RefSeq, a predicted model, not a curated record
UACACAACGUGCAAGAUAGCGCGGUCUACUUGGAACUCGUAUAACUUGAUAAAACAAGUGAGUUAAAAGCUGAAAUUGGUCUCAAAAUGAAGCUAAGACAUUAUAUGAUCUAUAGAAAUCGGUAAUACAGAUUGUCAGACAGAAUUAUGCGUGAAAAUGGCGAUAAAACUGGGACCAAAUCUGGAUCAUGAGGCGCUUGUUGAAAAGAUGUACUAUAUGUCAGACGUUAUUUAUACCAGUCGGACCAUAAAUUUAUACAUUCUAAGAGUGACUGACUUUAAACAGACAACACAACGGUAAUGUUUUGUUGAGGAAACAGUGACAUGGAUAUAUACAUAUUUGUAAUACAGGGCAGUCAUACUUAUAAUGUCUUAAGGUA